UACGAAGGGGGCUAGCGUUUGUUCGGAUUUACUGGGCGUAAAACGCACGUAGGCGGAUCGAUCAGUCAGGGGUGAAAUCCCAGGGCUCAACCCUGGAACUGCCUUUGAUACUGUCGAUCUGGAGUAUGGAAGAGGUGAGUGGAAUUCCGAGUGUAGAGGUGAAAUUCGUAGAUAUUCGGAGGAACACCAGUGGCGAAGGCGGCGACCUGGGCCAAUAUUGACGCUGAGGUGCGAAAGCGUGGGGAGCAAACAGGG
Molecule: ribosomal RNA, 255 nt
Filed under: uncultured bacterium
Lineage: Bacteria
Description: partial 16S ribosomal RNA
Rfam family: Bacterial small subunit ribosomal RNA
Source: RNAcentral